RNAcentral lists this ribosomal RNA (497 nucleotides) under uncultured bacterium. Its description in RNAcentral is "partial 16S ribosomal RNA". It matches the Rfam family "Bacterial small subunit ribosomal RNA", at positions 28 to 507 of the family's 1533-position model. The record is from RNAcentral.
GAUGAACGCUGGCGGCGUGCCUAAUACAUGCAAGUCGAGCGAACAGAUAAGGAGCUUGCUCCCUUGACGUUAGCGGCGGACGGGUGAGUAACACGUGGAUAACCUACCUAUAAGACUGGGAUAACUUCGGGAAACCGGAGCUAAUACCGGAUAACAUAUUGAACCGCAUGGUUCAAUAGUGAAAGGCGGCUUUGCUGUCACUUAUAGAUGGAUCCGCGCCGUAUUAGCUAGUUGGUAAGGUAACGGCUUACCAAGGCAACGAUACGUAGCCGACCUGAGAGGGUGAUCGGCCACACUGGAACUGAGACACGGUCCAGACUCCUACGGGAGGCAGCAGUAGGGAAUCUUCCGCAAUGGGCGAAAGCCUGACGGAGCAACGCCGCGUGAGUGAUGAAGGUCUUCGGAUCGUAAAACUCUGUUAUCAGGGAAGAACAAAUGUGUAAGUAACUGUGCACAUCUUGACGGUACCUGAUCAGAAAGCCACGGCUAACUACGUG